UACACUGGUGAGACCGUGUAGGACAUGCUCCAUAUUAAUUGGGGAUUUUCUUCUCUCUAGGCACUUAAACGCACUUCAGACAGCAGAGCAGAAGUUCCCAAAAAUAGACAAUGGGAAUGUCAUUCCUUUGCAAGCAGGAAUGUUCCAUCACCACCAGAACAUUACCACCAAGCUCCGCCAAACACAGCAUCUACAUCAGAUUUCAGCUGGGCAGAGAAGAGUCAUACACAUAUUUUAGACCAUCGAGCCACAUGCCAAAGCAAUGCUGUUCUCCUGGAACGAAGGGGACUAGCACUCCUGUGUUUCUACCAUUGUGCAGUAAAGGAUAACUCAGCAGAUCUGGGUUGUGCAAACCUUGAAAACCCCAAAGA
This 371-nucleotide long non-coding RNA is filed under the name Mustela putorius furo (domestic ferret). RNAcentral describes it as "lncRNA (ENSMPUG00000031737.1)". The record is from RNAcentral. Lineage: Eukaryota; Metazoa; Chordata; Mammalia; Carnivora; Mustelidae.